AUAUAAGAAAUAGCAUCAUGACAAAGAAUAUAUAAAGACAGUUUCAUUUUUUAUAAAUAAAAAUUUGUUGUUCCAGAUUUUGAAAUAUAGUGAAACGUUUAAUUAGUAUCUUAAUAUCUUUAAAUAAUUAUUAUUUUAGAAUCAAUUGUAAUUGUAUCAUACGUACUUUUGAAUUCAUGCAAGAACAUAUGUAAUUUUGAAGUAGUUAUUAUUAGGAAAUUGUUAGACGCGAACAGUAUGCGAAAAGUUAGUAUGUAGUGUAAUAAUUAUCAAUCAAAGCACAAGAAUUAAAUUCUUGAGGAAAAAAUUUCCGGAAUUUCUUAUUUACAUGAUUAUAAAGAAAUCCAUAAUAAAAAGGAGCUGUUUUCUAAUACUUCUCUUCCUUGUAAUGCCUACGUUAAUAAUAACGAGGUUCGACUUUUUGUUUUUAGAGGGAUACUGGAAAAUUUGAAAGUACAGUACCAUUGGGAAGAAAAUCACGAUAUUGAAAACGAUAUUUGCAAAUUGAACAAUAUUCCAGAUUUAUUCAUAAUUUCAUACUACGCGAAGAAUAGACUUUCAUAGGUAUAUAAAGGAAAUAUUAAGUAUUGGAAAACUCUUUUUCGUUGUAGGUGACAUAUGCUUCACGGUUGAACACAUGUAUUUUUGAACACAUAUAAAUGAAGAAGUACUCUUAUGGAGAAAAAGAAUUGAUACCUUCGAUUGACAUUAGAUAAUGUAUAUAAACUUAUGAACAAUCACUAUCAGUUUGUAUUUUAGGUGCACACGCAGAUUUGUUGGAGUUCUUAUAAAAUGUACUUCCUGUACGAACGUUUUAUUCUUCCAAAUUUUACGAUACUAUGUCUCAUAUAAUAACUAUAUGGAUUAAACGUAAUAUAAAUGAUCCGAAAAUAGACUCGAACGACAUUAAUUGUCUUUCUAUUUAUACCAAUAUUGAAAAUACAAGUAAAGCUGGAGCAAUAGUAUGCAAGAAUGGACUAUUUAUUAUUUUAAACCAAAUCAUAGCAUAUUCAGAAUGCACAAUAUUAUCAUGAAAUGUAAAUGAAUCAGUUGUAAACGAACGAUUUUACUGUAAAAUCAUUGCCACCUUUUUUUCAUCUGAAAUAUAGCAGCAAUGAGUACAUUCUUUUAAUAUAUAAUAAAACGAGAUAUCUUUAUAAAGUUACAUAUGUCAUCACUGGUAACUGUUAUCUCGUAUGACACCAAAUAUACCGUUAGUAUGGAAUGAUAUUUUUAUGAAGAUAUACUUUAAUGAUAGAUUUUAUGAAUGAAACGUUAUAUAAGAAAAAUUAUCUCUUGUUAUUCUAUGAAGUGUAGUAGCUAAUGAAGAUUAAUUUUACGAAGUAUUAGGGCAAAAGAGAAUUAAAAAAUUAAAAAGAUCUAAAUAAGAUUGUUCGUGUGGCUUAAUUAUCUCAAUUCUGGUACACCACUUGUUACAUUCUAACUACUUAGCGCUAAACAAUAACUUGCAAAUAUUAAAGAUAUUAACACCUUAAUAUUAACACCUAAAGGUUUUCAGGAAAUUUUAUAAUAUUUGAUUAUUGUAUAUCUAGUCAUUGAUUGAUAAAAUUUCUUGUAUAAGCAUAGAUCGAGGUUGACGUCAUACGCAGAUUGCAUUACAGGUAUCGUUUUAAUUUAUUUUAUGGCUAGAAUCAUUUGAAUAUUAUACGAAUAAUUAUUUCCAUUCGAACGAUUAAUAAAUCACGUACCUAUAAAAGAUAUAUUAUGAAAAAGACGUGACGAAACAAAAAAAUAUUGGAAAUUCCAUUGUCAUUAGAUCAAUUAUUUUUGCAAUGAUUUUUAUUUCCAUGUAAUUACAUAUGAAAUGGGUAAUUCAUUAACAUCUCCUCGAAUCGAAUAUAAUUCGUUACACUUCACAACGAUUCAAAUAAUGGACGGGAAAUAUAUAAUAACUUUCCUGUCCUUGCGUUAAAAUAGUACUGUACAAAUCAGAUGAUACAGGAAAUAUCCAAAAAACCCAAUUACAUCCACAUUGCAUGACAGCACACUUGCAAUGGAUUUUUGUGAUUUCAAUGUCACAGACAAUGACACAACUAAUCAGAACACGUUCGAGGCUAUAGACAUUGAAAUUACCGCGUGUUUAAUACGUUUAAAGCAUAAAUCUAAAUUUCACGCGAUUAUUUCUUUGUACAUUGUGAAACUCUUAAAUUAUCUUAAUCGAAUAAAUAAUCCUAAUGUAAUAAAACA
Molecule: long non-coding RNA, 2208 nt
Organism: Bombus huntii
Lineage: Eukaryota; Metazoa; Arthropoda; Insecta; Hymenoptera; Apidae
Exons: 2
Source: RefSeq, a predicted model, not a curated record